This 515-nucleotide ribosomal RNA is filed under the name uncultured bacterium. RNAcentral's name for it is "bacterial SSU rRNA". It matches the Rfam family "Bacterial small subunit ribosomal RNA", at positions 356 to 896 of the family's 1533-position model. The record is from RNAcentral.
GGGGAAUAUUGCACAAUGGAGGGAACUCUGAUGCAGCGACGCCGCGUGAACGAAGAAGGCUUUCGAGUCGUAAAGUUCUUUUAUAUGGGAAGAUAAUGACGGUACCAUAAGAAAAAGCCCCGGCUAACUACGUGCCAGCAGCCGCGGUAAUACGUAGGGGGCUAGCGUUGUCCGGAAUCACUGGGCGUAAAGGGUUCGCAGGCGGAAAUGCAAGUCAGAUGUAAAAGGCAGUAGCUUAACUACUGUAAGCAUUUGAAACUGCAUAUCUUGAGAAGAGUAGAGGUAAGUGGAAUUUUUAGUGUAGCGGUGAAAUGCGUAGAUAUUAAAAAGAAUACCGGUGGCGAAGGCGACUUACUGGGCUCAUUCUGACGCUGAGGAACGAAAGCGUGGGUAGCAAACAGGAUUAGAUACCCUGGUAGUCCACGCUGUAAACGAUGAGUGCUAGGUGUCGGCGAAUGUCGGUGCCGCAGUUAACACAAUAAGCACUCCGCCUGGGGAGUACGUGCGCGAGCAUG